This is a transfer RNA of 71 nucleotides. It matches the Rfam family "tRNA". From Rfam's summary of the family: Transfer RNA (tRNA) molecules are approximately 80 nucleotides in length. Their secondary structure includes four short double-helical elements and three loops (D, anti-codon, and T loops). Further hydrogen bonds mediate the characteristic L-shaped molecular structure. tRNAs have two regions of fundamental functional importance: the anti-codon, which is responsible for specific mRNA codon recognition, and the 3' end, to which the tRNAs corresponding amino acid is attached (by aminoacyl-tRNA synthetases). tRNAs cope with the degeneracy of the genetic code in two manners: having more than one tRNA (with a specific anti-codon) for a particular amino acid; and 'wobble' base-pairing, i.e. permitting non-standard base-pairing at the 3rd anti-codon position. The record is from Rfam.
GGCGAAAUAAAGUAAAGGUAACUUCUCAGGCUCAUGAUCUGAAUAUGUAGGUUCGAAUCCUGCUUUUGCCA